UACUCCUACGGGAGGCAGCAGUGAGGAAUAUUGGUCAAUGGGAGCAAUCCUGAACCAGCAAUGCCGCGUGUGGGAUGACGGGGCUCAGCCCUGUAAACCACUGUCGGACGGGACGAAAGGAGCCUUCAGGGCUCUGGGACGG
RNAcentral lists this ribosomal RNA (142 nucleotides) under uncultured bacterium. Its description in RNAcentral is "partial 16S ribosomal RNA". It matches the Rfam family "Bacterial small subunit ribosomal RNA", at positions 334 to 475 of the family's 1533-position model. The record is from RNAcentral.